Schistosoma haematobium is the source of this 45-nucleotide non-coding RNA. The record is from Rfam. NCBI's taxonomy places the organism in Eukaryota, Metazoa, Platyhelminthes, Trematoda, Strigeidida, Schistosomatidae.
ACCUAGCUGACGAGUCUCAAAUAGGACGAGACGCUCUUUCUGGAU